CAUUCCCUUCAUUCUCUUCAAACUCACCAAAAAGAAGAACUCUCAAAUAUUUAUUUCUCUACAAUGCUUGAAGAAGAAUUAAACAUAGGGUUUCAUGUGAAAUCUCAAUUCCUGCAUUGAAGGGCCCGACAGUCAGGUUUCUCAAUAUCGUUGCAAAUGGUUGAUUGUGAGGUUCGAGAGCAUUGGUGACAAUUGCGAGGAGUUAUUUGAAGUGAACUUGGAUUUUAUCAAUCUUUCAAGAAAGUUGUGGUAUGUCCUCGAUUAAUUAGAGGACAUAAAUAUGUUUAGCUUUUCCUCUCAAAGACAUUGUAUUAGACUUUGUUAUUUCUAUUUGUUGAUGUAUGAGCCGUGACCAAAGAUAUUCAUGUGUCUAAGAUGGAGAGAAAGAGAUAUUCAUGUGUCUAAGAUUGAG
Long non-coding RNA from Solanum lycopersicum (tomato), 412 nucleotides. RefSeq lists it as uncharacterized. The record is from RefSeq and is a predicted model, not a curated record. NCBI's taxonomy places the organism in Eukaryota, Viridiplantae, Streptophyta, Magnoliopsida, Solanales, Solanaceae.